This 433-nucleotide ribosomal RNA is filed under the name uncultured bacterium. Its description in RNAcentral is "partial 16S ribosomal RNA". It matches the Rfam family "Bacterial small subunit ribosomal RNA", at positions 29 to 507 of the family's 1533-position model. The record is from RNAcentral.
AACGAACGCUGGCGGCAUGCCUAACACAUGCAAGUCGAACGAGACCUUCGGGUCUAGUGGCGAACGGGUGCGUAACGCGUGGGAACCUGCCCUUAGGUUCGGAAUAACUCCCCGAAAGGGGUGCUAAUACCGGAUAAUGUCUUCGGACCAAAGAUUUAUCGCCUUUGGAUGGGCCCGCGUUGGAUUAGCUAGUUGGUAGGGUAAAAGCCUACCAAGGCGACGAUCCAUAGCUGGUCUGAGAGGAUGAUCAGCCACACUGGGACUGAGACACGGCCCAGACUCCUACGGGAGGCAGCAGUGGGGAAUAUUGGACAAUGGGCGAAAGCCUGAUCCAGCAAUGCCGCGUGAGUGAUGAAGGCCUUAGGGUUGUAAAGCUCUUUUACCCGGGAUGAUAAUGACAGUACCGGGAGAAUAAGCACCGGCUAACUCCGUG